RNAcentral lists this small RNA (28 nucleotides) under Bombyx mori (domestic silkworm). Its description in RNAcentral is "ovarian small RNA-16731". Lineage: Eukaryota; Metazoa; Arthropoda; Insecta; Lepidoptera; Bombycidae. The record is from RNAcentral.
GCCUGAAUAAGGUGCUCGCGGUGGAGGC